Molecule: ribosomal RNA, 398 nt
Filed under: uncultured bacterium
Lineage: Bacteria
Description: partial 16S ribosomal RNA
Rfam family: Bacterial small subunit ribosomal RNA
Source: RNAcentral
AUACGUAGGGUGCGAGCGUUGUCCGGAAUUACUGGGCGUAAAGAGCUCGUAGGUGGUUUGUCGCGUCGUCUGUGAAAUUCCGGGGCUUAACUCCGGGCGUGCAGGCGAUACGGGCAUAACUUGAGUACUGUAGGGGAGACUGGAAUUCCUGGUGUAGCGGUGAAAUGCGCAGAUAUCAGGAGGAACACCGGUGGCGAAGGCGGGUCGCUGGGCAGUAACUGACGCUGAGGAGCGAAAGCAUGGGUAGCGAACAGGAUUAGAUACCCUGGUAGUCCAGGCCGUAAACGGUGGGCGCUAGGUGUAGGGGUCUUCCACGACUUCUGUGCCGUAGCUAACGCAUUAAGCGCCCCGCCUGGGGAGUACGGCCGCAAGGCUAAAACUCAAAUGAAUUGACGGGG